GAUUAACCUGUGUUAAAUGUAAGAAUGACCUUCUUCUCCAGCAACUCAUUGUUAUCUGCCCUUAGUCUUGCUCCCUAGGAGUGGGUUGUGUUCCUAAAGUUUGUUCUUUGGUUGCUCUUGAAGUUUAUCAAUUACUUUCCUUUUGUUCUCUUCUGUGUUGUGGCUGACCCAUGAAAUCCGAGAGAUCAGACAGUUUCACUUCACUGGCUGGCCGGAUUACGGGGUCCCCCACCAUGUCACAGGCCUGCUGAGAUUUGUCUGGUCAAAUCCAAGAGCUUGCCCAAUGUAGGCCCAUUGGUGAUGCACUGCAGAUAAGCAGAGCUCCCAGCGCCUCUUAAAGAAGUAUACCAUGGGUUAUGGUUGGG
Molecule: long non-coding RNA, 365 nt
Filed under: Marmota monax (woodchuck)
Lineage: Eukaryota; Metazoa; Chordata; Mammalia; Rodentia; Sciuridae
Source: RNAcentral